Molecule: ribosomal RNA, 433 nt
Filed under: uncultured bacterium
Lineage: Bacteria
Description: partial 16S ribosomal RNA
Rfam family: Bacterial small subunit ribosomal RNA
Source: RNAcentral
AACGAACGCUGGCGGCAGGCCUAACACAUGCAAGUCGAACGAAGUCUUCGGACUUAGUGGCGCACGGGUGAGUAACACGUGGGAAUAUACCUUACGCUGGGGGAUAACAUCGGGAAACUGAUGCUAAUACCGCAUACGCCCUUCGGGGGAAAGAUUUAUCGGCGAAGGAUUAGCCCGCGUCCGAUUAGCUAGUUGGUGAGGUAAUGGCUCACCAAGGCUCCGAUCGGUAGCUGGUCUGAGAGGAUGACCAGCCACACUGGGACUGAGACACGGCCCAGACUACUACGGGAGGCAGCAGUGGGGGAUAUUGGAAAAUGGGCGCAAGCCUGAUCCAGCCAUGCCGCGUGAGUGAUGAAGGCCUUAGGGUUGUAAAGCUCUUUCACCCACGACGAUGAUGACGGUAGUGGGAGAAGAAGCCCCGGCUAACUUCGUG